UACGGGGGGGGUAAGCGUUGUUCGGAAUUAUUGGGCGUAAAGAGCUCGUAGGCGGUGUGUCGCGUCGGCCGUGAAAACCUGCAGCUUAACUGUGGGCUUGCGGUCGAUACGGGCAUCACUGGAGUUCGGCAGGGGAGACUGGAAUUCCUGGUGUAGCGGUGAAAUGCGCAGAUAUCAGGAGGAACACCGGUGGCGAAGGCGGGUCUCUGGGCCGAUACUGACGCUGAGGAGCGAAAGCGUGGGGAGCGAACAGG
This 254-nucleotide ribosomal RNA is filed under the name uncultured bacterium. RNAcentral describes it as "partial 16S ribosomal RNA". It matches the Rfam family "Bacterial small subunit ribosomal RNA", at positions 524 to 776 of the family's 1533-position model. The record is from RNAcentral.